UCCAGCACCUUUACACAGACUUUCAUCAGCAACAUGAAAGCUGCGAGGAAGAGCUAUGAAACCAUUAUGAAUGUUUGUGAGGCAAAGAGGAAGUGUUGGCGCCUCAUUCAUGUGCCUUGUUUCUUGUGGAGUGCAGAAAUCUGCACACAACUGCACAAAUGAUACCAACAUGAGCUGCUGACCUCCAACUUUAUGCUGAAGAAAACUGGGCACAUGGAUGAGUAUUUCGGGUGGUUUCGAUACUUCUUGUUCUCAGUCUGGGUCUUCUAUAUUGUGAUGAUCUUCCUGUUCACGCACUUGCGCAAGGAGAUCAUGCUGAUAGAGCAGAGGUUCGAAAGAGCAAAACGAGAACAAAGACCACGAAGUGCAGCCGCUGACACCAGGCGAGCAGAUGGCGAUGUGGAAUAUGAAAACAUAUGAGGGACCGUUUUCAAAGUGGAUUCAGAAAUGAAAUGAGGCUUCUUGACAGCUACACAUCCUUUCAGACCCAUAGCGCUGAGU
Colossoma macropomum (tambaqui) is the source of this 501-nucleotide long non-coding RNA. RefSeq lists it as uncharacterized. The record is from RefSeq and is a predicted model, not a curated record. The transcript is spliced from 4 exons. NCBI's taxonomy places the organism in Eukaryota, Metazoa, Chordata, Actinopteri, Characiformes, Serrasalmidae.